Molecule: small nuclear RNA, 192 nt
Organism: Dromiciops gliroides (monito del monte)
Lineage: Eukaryota; Metazoa; Chordata; Mammalia; Microbiotheria; Microbiotheriidae
Product: U2 spliceosomal RNA
Exons: 1
Source: RefSeq, a predicted model, not a curated record
AUCGCUUCUCGGCCUUUUGGCGAAGAUCAAGUGCAGUAUCUCUUCUUAUCAGCUUAAUAUCUGUAAUACAUCCUCUAUCCAAGAACAACGUAUUAAAUGGACUUUUGAAGCCAGGAGAUGGAAUAGGAGCUUGCUCCGUCCACUCCACGCAUCGACCCAGUUCCCAGGGCUUCUGGGAACGGUGUAUUUCUC